RNAcentral lists this ribosomal RNA (253 nucleotides) under uncultured bacterium. Its description in RNAcentral is "partial 16S ribosomal RNA". It matches the Rfam family "Bacterial small subunit ribosomal RNA", at positions 524 to 776 of the family's 1533-position model. The record is from RNAcentral.
UACGGGGGGGGCAAGCGUUGUUCGGAAUUACUGGGCGUAAAGUGUGCGCAGGCGGCCGCGCAAGUCGAGUGUGAAAUCCCCGAGCUUAACUUGGGAAUUGCGCUCGAAACUACGUGGCUGGAGUGUGGCAGAGGAAGGUGGAAUUCCACGUGUAGCGGUGAAAUGCGUAGAUAUGUGGAGGAACACCGAUGGCAAAGGCAGCCUUCUGGGCCAACACUGACGCUCAUGCACGAAAGCGUGGGGAGCAAACAGG